Molecule: unclassified non-coding RNA, 141 nt
Organism: Ictidomys tridecemlineatus (thirteen-lined ground squirrel)
Lineage: Eukaryota; Metazoa; Chordata; Mammalia; Rodentia; Sciuridae
Source: Ensembl
AAGCUUCGCGGAUUGUCUUUUGCUCCAAGUUAUUUUUGGUGAUUUUUUUUUUUUUAGUGGUUUUUCGGCGGAGCGCUAGUGGCACUAUACUUUCAGACAGGUUAUCCCGUCUCUCCCGCUAGAUUGAUGAGAUCAGGCAUC